GGCAGCUGUGGCUCAGGGGGUAGAGCGCCGCCCACUAAUCAGAGGGUCGGGGUUUGAUCCCCCGCUCCUCCA
RNAcentral lists this transfer RNA (72 nucleotides) under Pleuronectes platessa (European plaice). RNAcentral describes it as "tRNA-Ser". The record is from RNAcentral. Lineage: Eukaryota; Metazoa; Chordata; Actinopteri; Pleuronectiformes; Pleuronectidae.